This 271-nucleotide long non-coding RNA is filed under the name Dermacentor andersoni. RNAcentral describes it as "uncharacterized LOC126534449". The record is from RNAcentral. Lineage: Eukaryota; Metazoa; Arthropoda; Arachnida; Ixodida; Ixodidae.
UUGGUCAUACAAGGGGAUAUUACUUCGGCUGACGACAUCACCGCUAUUGUGAAAAGAACUGCGGAGCACUUCGGGAAAAUUGAUAUUUUGGUCAAUAACGCUGGGAUUGCCAAGGCUGCUCCUCUAGGAGAAAUUAGUCUGGAUGAAUUUGACGAGGUUUACAACACAAACCUACGCUCUGCCUUCAGCAUGACACAGCAGGCUCUUCCGUACCUCAAGAAAACGAAAGGAAACAUUGUAAACGUCUCAAGCGUGACAACUCUGCGAUGCG